Salmo salar (Atlantic salmon) is the source of this 2026-nucleotide non-coding RNA. NCBI's taxonomy places the organism in Eukaryota, Metazoa, Chordata, Actinopteri, Salmoniformes, Salmonidae. The record is from RefSeq and is a predicted model, not a curated record.
CACCAAUUUGUAAGUCGCUCUGGAUAAGAGCGUCUGCUAAAUGACUUAAAUGUAAUGUAAAUGUAAUCUUGCAGACAUCGAUUCAGCUUUGAUCUAACCAUUCACCAGAGUAGUAGAGCAGAGAAUGAGCGUAAAGUACAGCAUAAACAGAAGCUCCGAAUGUGAUCCGCACAUGCGCCGACGUUUCGUGAUCUUUAGCCUGGAGAAAAAUAUCUGAAAAGUCGGAUAAGCAGCCACUCUUUUAAGGACACUGCCUUAACACCUGAAAUGACAGGCUGCAUUUACACAGGCAACCAAAUUCAGAUCUUGUGACAAUAAUUGGGCAAAAGAUCAGAAUUGGGCUGCCUGUGUAAACCCAGCCUUAGUACUGGUUCUUACCUUAUCAACCACGCCAACGAGACCAAUCAUAAUGCAGGAAGUUGUACACAUGACAUUCGGACGGGCUGGUCACAACAAAAAGGCAGAUUUUUACACCAUCAGACAGCGUUCUACAAAGUACGUUUUACGCUCGUGGAUUUCUUUUCCUCUGCUACUACUAAGUAACUGGCAUUGGUGCUCGUUGCAGGUAGACAUUUUAAAGGUUUAACCUUUUAACUACAACUUAAACAAUCUCACAAAUAUUGUGGUAUUUAAUAUUUUCAAGAUUUCUCUGAACUCUUCCUGCAGGAUGUCAUCCUGUGGCAUCACAGAGGGAGGCUGUGCUUAUUUGGCUUCAGCUCUAUGUUCAAACCUCUUGUACCUGAGAACCCUAGUACUCUGUGACAACCUGCACAAUUCAGGAGUGAAGCUGCUCUCUGCUGGACUGGGGAAUAAACAUUGUGAACUGGAGACACUGAGGCUUUCUGGCUGUCUUGUCUCAAUGGAAGGAUGUGCUUCUCUGGCUUCAGCUCUGAGAUAAACACCCUCACACCUGCGAGAGCUGGAUCUGAGCUACAAUCACCCAGGAGACAGAGGAGUGAGACUGCUCUCUGAUGUACUGGGCGAUCCACUCUUCAUACUAAAGUAAAUCAGUGUGGAACACAAUGAAGAGUGCUACUUAAAACCAGGCCUGAAGAAGUAUGUCUGUGCGCUCACACUGGACCCUAACACAGCACACAAAAAGCUCUCUCUGUCUAACAACGGAAGAACUGUGACAUGGGAGGAUGAUGAUCAUCCAUGUUUGCCUCAAACAGAGAGAUUUAAUGACUGUCCUCAGGUGCUGUGUGGAGAGGGUCUGACUGGGUGCUGUUAUGGGGAGGCAGAGUGUAGUGGGAAAGGGUUUCAUGUAGGUGUUGCAUAUAAACACAUGAGCAGGGUUGGAAAAGGGCAUAACUGUUUGCUUGGUUACAAUGACAAAUCCUGGAGCCUAAGACUCCUCAAACAUGGUUUCCUCAAACUCUCCGUCUGGCACAAAAAUGAGCACACGGUCAUACAUGCCCCCUCUUCCAGCACUGACAGAGUUGGGGUGUAUCUGAACUCCUCACAAGGCAUUCUGUCCUUCUACCUAGUCUACUCUGACCUACCUCCACACAUUCCAGUCCACCUUCACUGAACCACUAUCCAGCAUUUUCAGUCAAUGACUAUUCAUCAGUGUCCCUGUGUUAGGUCUUAAAUUGGCGUAGAGAAAAGGAGGAUUAUGUUGAAUGUUUACUAAUAAACUGCUGUCCUUCUGAGUCCAAGAUAGAGAUAGUCUAGACCAUAUCCAGUCUAGACCAUAUCCAGUUGACCAAUACAUGAAAAUACUCAAUUCAUAUUAUCCAUAAUUGUUUGAACUCUUUCCCCCCAGUACAUUGCAAAAUUACAAACAUUUCAACGUUUCGAAAGAACCUGGAUUCCCGAUCUGAGGUCCUACUGUAUACGAACUGUAUACUUAUUCAAUAUAGGGGUUGAAAGUUUGACCUGUUCUGUAUGAUAUGUUGUUGCGUUCAGAUACAAGGGGAGCUUUGUUUCUGUACAUUGUUCUCAGGGUCCGGUGUGUUUUUAUUUUUGAAUAAUAGAAAUACAUUUUAUCAAACUAUUACAUGUACUAUAUGUAUGAUUGUGGUCU